This is a long non-coding RNA of Manduca sexta (tobacco hornworm), 1277 nucleotides long. RefSeq lists it as uncharacterized. The record is from RefSeq and is a predicted model, not a curated record. Lineage: Eukaryota; Metazoa; Arthropoda; Insecta; Lepidoptera; Sphingidae. The transcript has 5 exons.
UCCAAAGAGCUCUUGCGUAUGAAAAUACCACAGUACAUCUUAGUUUAUAUUAUAGUCAAUCAAUACUCCGAGCCAAACUUACAAAAUUCGGAGGCGAGUUCAUAUCGAUGAAAUGUUUUACUUAACUUUUUCCGUGUGUUUGUCACUUGAUUUAUUAUAAUUUAUUGAAUUUCUAUUUACUUAUUCUACAUUAUUACGAAUUGGUACUUUCAAUCUUUGAAAACCAAUGACCUCUAGGGAAUGUAAAGACAUUCACUAGAAUUCAUUGGUUUUCAAAGAUAUACUGAUACGUAAUUCUAUUAUUGAAUGUAUAUAUUCUUGUUUGUACCUCUACAGUCUUCAAAAACGACCAACAAUAACCUAAACACGCUUUUGAAGUUGAAAAUCAUCAUGUCGGAACUGACAUUUCAACCUCUAAUUGCUUCUAAACAAUCUUCCCAUUAAAUAUAAAAUAAAGUUGGAACAAAUUAAUUAUCAUCGCGAAUCUAGAUGUUUCCAGUAUUCUACGCAAACACUAUCAUCACUUGUCUUAACAAGCGUAAUUAAGAAAUUUUAGAGAUAAAAUCUUUCAUGUAUAAUAUAUAAGACGACAGAAGAAACAAUAUGACAAUGUGUUAAAGAUUACACUUUAAGUUGGUUGCAAUUCUGGUUUAAGAUCAGGGGGCCCUAUUCGAUUUACGGAGUCAAAUCCGUGUUUUUGCUAUUACGGGCGUUCUAAUCGAAGAACAGCUUUCAGAAGUGGUUUAGGUAAAUAUAAGAUUUCCGGCACUUUAGCAAUAGGGCCCCAGAUCUUACUUCAAUACAUAGACAAUUCUAUAUAAAUUUGUACCAAAAACCCAUAGAUUUCAGAUCAAAACCUCUAAGAUACCCUAAGAAGUUUUAAUUAAUUAAAAUGUUCUUGAAACUCAUCCAAAUGGUAGUUAUACCAUAUUUAUUUGUGUGCAUUGUUAUCAACAAGAUCUUGCAUCAUCGGCAUAUGAACAGGUAGUGUUGAAUAAUUUGAAUAGAAUGAAGAGAGACGUUGCUGUAGGUUAUGUAACUCUAUCGUCACCAAACACAGUUCACGCACGCGAUCGAAUUGUUGUGACAAUUCCGAAUCAAAGAACAAAUGCAUAUCCAGUAUACCCCUCGACUCCAUACGGAACCAGAGCACCUACUGUCAUUUUAAACGUGCCAGGCACGGCAAAUUAACUCCAUUACACCUGAUGCUAAGUGGAGUGGGGUCCUAAAGAAUGUCGACUGAUAAGAGAUGAUUACCCCUCGGCAGUCGAUAGAAU